AUGUUAUCAUCUGGAGUUGUUGUGCCCAGCAUGAGCCCAUAUGCGUCUCCCGUCCUGUUAGUCAAGAAAAAGGAUGGCCAAUGGCGUUUCUGUGUAGAUUAUCGCAGAUUGAACAGCAUCACCAUAAAGAAUAAAUUUCCUUUACCAAUUGUGGAUGAAUUGUUGGAUGAACUUGCUGGCACUAAGUUCUUCUCUAAGCUCGAUCUGCGGGCAGGUUAUCAUCAGAUUCGAAUGAGAGAGGAUGAUGAACCCAAGACGGCCUUCAAAACACAUCAUGGGCAUUUUCAGUUUCGAGUAAUGCCCUUUGGCCUUACCAAUGCACCGGCCACAUUCCAGUGUGUGAUGAAUUCGGUAUUUUCUCAGUACCUUCGCAAAUUUGUGAUUGUCUUCUUAGAUGAUAUCCUCGUGUACAGUGCUUCCUGGGAAGAGCAUCUUCAACACCUUCGGCAAGUCCUGGAGCUUUUGUGA
This 468-nucleotide ribosomal RNA is filed under the name Triticum aestivum (bread wheat). RNAcentral describes it as "partial small subunit ribosomal RNA". Lineage: Eukaryota; Viridiplantae; Streptophyta; Magnoliopsida; Poales; Poaceae. The record is from RNAcentral.